UACGUAGGGUGCAAGCGUUAAUCGGAAUUACUGGGCGUAAAGCGUGCGCAGGCGGUUCUAUAAGACAGAUGUGAAAUCCCCGGGCUCAACCUGGGAACUGCAUUUGUGACUGUAGAGCUGGAGUGCGGCAGAGGGGGAUGGAAUUCCGCGUGUAGCAGUGAAAUGCGUAGAUAUGCGGAGGAACACCGAUGGCGAAGGCAGCUCACUGGGGCGGUACUGACGCUGAGACGCGAAAGCGUGGGGAGCAAACAGG
Molecule: ribosomal RNA, 253 nt
Filed under: uncultured bacterium
Lineage: Bacteria
Description: partial 16S ribosomal RNA
Rfam family: Bacterial small subunit ribosomal RNA
Source: RNAcentral